RNAcentral lists this ribosomal RNA (253 nucleotides) under uncultured bacterium. Its description in RNAcentral is "partial 16S ribosomal RNA". It matches the Rfam family "Bacterial small subunit ribosomal RNA", at positions 524 to 776 of the family's 1533-position model. The record is from RNAcentral.
UACAGAGGGGGCAAGCGUUGUUCGGAAUUACUGGGCGUAAAGGGCGCGUAGGCGGCCAACUAAGUCAGACGUGAAAUCCCUCGGCUUAACCGGGGAACUGCGUCUGAUACUGGAUGGCUUGAGUUCGGGAGAGGGAUGCGGAAUUCCAGGUGUAGCGGUGAAAUGCGUAGAUAUCUGGAGGAACACCGGUGGCGAAGGCGGCAUCCUGGACCGACACUGACACUGAGGAGCGAAAGCCAGGGGAGCAAACGGG